This 815-nucleotide ribosomal RNA is filed under the name uncultured bacterium. RNAcentral's name for it is "bacterial SSU rRNA". It matches the Rfam family "Bacterial small subunit ribosomal RNA", at positions 8 to 796 of the family's 1533-position model. The record is from RNAcentral.
AGAGUUUGAUCAUGGCUCAGAACGAACGCUGGCGGCGUGGAUAAGACAUACAAGUCGAACGCUGACAUUCAGGUAGCAAUAUUUGGAUGUCGGAGUGGCGCAAGGGUGCGUAACACGUGGGUAAUUUGCCGUAAAGUCUGGGAUAACUUGCUGAAAGGCGAGCUAAUACCGGAUGUGAAUGUAAGAAGGCAUCUUUUGACAUUCAAAGUUGGGGACCGCAAGGCCUGACGCUUUACGAUAAGCCCGCGGCCUAUCAGCUAGUUGGUGAGGUAACGGCUCACCAAGGCUAAGACGGGUAGCUGGUCUGAGAGGACGACCAGCCUCACUGGAACUGAGACACGGUCCAGACACCUACGGGUGGCAGCAGUCGAGAAUUUUUCUCAAUGGGCGAAAGCCUGAAGGAGCGACGCCGCGUGGGGGAUGAAUGGCUUCGGCCCGUAAACCCCUGUCAUUUGUGAACAAAUUGCUUCACCUAACACGUGAAGCAUUGAUUGUAACGGAAGAGGAAGGGACGGCUAACUCUGUGCCAGCAGCCGCGGUAAUACAGAGGUCCCAAGCGUUGUUCGGAUUCACUGGGCGUAAAGGGUGCGUAGGCGGUUUGACAAGUCUGAUGUGAAAUCCCGCAGCUUAACUGCGGAACUGCAUUGGAAACUGUUUGACUAGAGGAAUGGAGGGGAGACUGGAAUACUUGGUGUAGCAGUGAAAUGCGUAGAUAUCAAGUGGAACACCAGUGGCGAAGGCGAGUCUCUGGACAUUUCCUGACGCUGAGGCACGAAAGCCAGGGGAGCAAACGGGAUUAGAUACCCUAGUAGUCC